Long non-coding RNA from Leopardus geoffroyi (Geoffroy's cat), 1204 nucleotides. RefSeq lists it as uncharacterized. The transcript has 2 exons. The record is from RefSeq and is a predicted model, not a curated record. Lineage: Eukaryota; Metazoa; Chordata; Mammalia; Carnivora; Felidae.
UUUAAUGCCAUGUGGGUAGAAUGGAGGCGAUUCCCUUGGACAGAAUGAUAUUUUGAAGCAUAUAUAUGAUUCCGGGGCGCUUCCAUUUCAUUUGGAGUGGAGAAAAACUUCACGAGGGUUUUCUCUAGUUGUCUGUGGAAGGUUUCAAAUAGAGAUGUCACAGCGUAGCUAGAUUAAGGUGAUAUGCAAUAUCUAUUUCUUGAUUUGCAUGAUUAAAGCAUUAGAGAAGUAGCUCAGGUAUCAAAAGAUUUCUCAUAAGCAGUGGCGCCAAAGGUAAUUACUGUUAAAAUGUACACGCUCGAACCCUGGUCGCUCGUUAACUUCUAAGUUGUGUUUACAACUCUUUGGGUGGGAGUAAAAGUUUUCAUGUGAUUUUUGGAUGCCAAGACCCCUUUCUCACUCCAUUUUGAUAUCAACAGUAUAUUGAGCAUUUCUUAUAUCCUAUGUCUAUCACGAUGACAAUUAGCUUCAACUCAAAAAAGCAAUAAAAGGUAAAGAAGGCCCUUCUUACUAUUUCAUACUUUAAUUGUUUCUUAAGCAAAUGUAACCUUUUGAAGACAAAGCUAAAAUGUAUACUUAAAAAAAAAAAAACAACGAACUGAUUAAUUUAGUCAACCAACCUCCAGUUCCUUAUCAAAAAAUGCUGUUAAAACCCUACUGUAAGCUGGGUGCAUUAUGAUAGGGGGUGGGGACAGAGAGGGAAAGAGGAGAGGGGUUGUUAUUCUCAGCCUUUUAUUAACCAGUUUCUUUCAUUCUAGUGGGUCUUUAUUAUUUAGAAAAAUAAAAAUGAUCUGGGGCUCUAUCCAUUCUCACCUACAAUUUUGGAGUAGGUAACGGCUGCCUACAACGGGUCCAACAUAUGCCCCAAAACUAAAACAAACAAACUCAUUUGCCAUACAAAUUGUUUACGAUUCAUUAAAAAGCAAAAUUGCAUAUCCCGGUGCUGGCAGCUGAGGCCGAGCCUCCACGGGCGGAGGGGGCAUUCACUGAGUUGCCUUUGUAUGCUGGGAGGACCAAGCCGAGGUUCCCACUAUGCAGCCCGGAGUCUGUGCAGCCAGAUGACGCAUGAGUUUUUCUGGAGGUACCACUGAGCUAUAGUCUGCACUGCUCGUCACAUGGACCCCAGGCUUCAAGCAGGUACAGCAUCCAGAGAGGCCCCUUGUGCCUUGCUGCUCACAGCUUACAGACUCAGUGUCUUAUGUGG